AAUAGUUUAAUGGGUAUUGAUUUAAGGAGUAAUCCGCUUUGAGAUGGACCCGCGGCGCAUUAGCUAGUUGGUAGGGUAACGGCCUACCAAGGCGACGAUGCGUAGCCGACCUGAGAGGGUGAUCGGCCACAUUGGAACUGAGAAACGGUCCAGACUCCUACGGGAGGCAGCAGUGGGGAAUAUUGCACAAUGGGCGAAAGCCUGAUGCAGCAACGCCGCGUGAGUGAAGAAGGUUUUCGGAUUGUAAAGCUCUGUCUUUGGGGACGAUAAUGACGGUACCCAAGGAGGAAGCCACGGCUAACUACGUGCCAGCAGCCGCGGUAAUACGUAGGUGGCAAGCGUUGUCCGGAAUUACUGGGCGUAAAGAGUGCGUAGGCGGAUAUUUAAGUGAGAUGUGAAAUACCCGGGCUUAACCCGGGCACUGCAUUUCAAACUGGAUAUCUAGAGUGCGGGAGAGGAGAAUGGAAUUCCUAGUGUAGCGGUGAAAUGCGUAGAGAUAAGGAAGAAAUUA
Molecule: ribosomal RNA, 511 nt
Filed under: uncultured Clostridium sp.
Lineage: Bacteria; Bacillati; Bacillota; Clostridia; Eubacteriales; Clostridiaceae
Description: bacterial SSU rRNA
Rfam family: Bacterial small subunit ribosomal RNA
Source: RNAcentral